CCCGCACAAGCGGUGGAGCAUGUGGUUUAAUUCGACGCAACGCGAAGAACCGUUUACCAGGGCUUGACAUCCUUAGAAUCCUGAGGAAACUCGGGAGUGCCCUUCUGGGAGCUAAGAGACAGGUGGUGCAUGGUUGUCGUCAGCUCGUGUCGUGAGAUGUUGGGUUAAGUCCCGCAACGAGCGCAACCCCUAUAUUUAGUUGCUAACAGGAAAGCUGAGCACUCUAGAAAGACUGCCGGUGAUAAACCGGAGGAAGGUGGGAUGACGUCAAAUCAUCAUGCCCCUUAUGUUCUGGGCUACACACGUGCUACAAUGGCCGGUACAAACGGAAGCAAGCCCGCGAGGUGGAGCAAAUCUGAGAAAACCGGUCUCAGUUCGGAUUGCAGGCUGCAACUCGCCUGCAUGAAGUCGGAAUCGCUAGUAAUCGCAGGUCAGCAUACUGCGGUGAAUACGUUCCCGGGCCUU
This 465-nucleotide ribosomal RNA is filed under the name uncultured Desulfosporosinus sp. RNAcentral's name for it is "bacterial SSU rRNA". It matches the Rfam family "Bacterial small subunit ribosomal RNA", at positions 920 to 1382 of the family's 1533-position model. Lineage: Bacteria; Bacillati; Bacillota; Clostridia; Eubacteriales; Desulfitobacteriaceae. The record is from RNAcentral.